Myxocyprinus asiaticus (Chinese sucker) is the source of this 1389-nucleotide long non-coding RNA. RefSeq lists it as uncharacterized. The transcript is spliced from 2 exons. The record is from RefSeq and is a predicted model, not a curated record. NCBI's taxonomy places the organism in Eukaryota, Metazoa, Chordata, Actinopteri, Cypriniformes, Catostomidae.
UACAGUCACAUUCCUGAGAAUGAGAGCUUUCAUUUGAUAUAUGACUUGUCCAUUUAGGUGCUAUGUGAAGGACUUUAAUUUUUAUAUAAAUAUUUCUACCCCAUUACCUCUAGGGGGCGCUAAUUUGCGACGCGAAUGAUUUGAGGCCUUAAAGUAAAAUAAAUGCAGAAGUGAUGUUUAUCUCUGAAAAGUUCAGAUUUUAAGCUUUCAAAUGAUACCUCAUAUGCCUGACUUAUGUAUAUGUAAACGUAAACUUUUUUCGCGAUAUAGCGCUGGCGGGUCAAUAGAGUUUAAGGGAUAAAGCUUUAAAUAAUAAUAAAAGUCUACUGAAAUAUACAUCUGAAACACAUGCAAUGACUUUUUCACCGCUCAUGAGUUUGCAUCCCGGAAUUAUUUUUUUUCAUAUAUUUCAUCAACAUUGAGCACCUUUUUCGUCUCGUGGACAAAAUAAAAAAAACUUCGUCAAUGAACAUUUUUGUAAAUAAUUUCGUUGAUGAGAUUAACACGGACUUGCAAUGAACAGGCCACAUAUGUGAUUUGUUACUUUAGUUCUUUAUUAUAUAAACAAAUACAUUCUGUAUCAAUAAAAAUAAAACAAAAAAAUGACAAAAAUCUUUGUAAAAAAAAAAAAGAUCUGUGCAAAUUAAGUACAUUUCACAAACCCCUUUAUAGUUUCUCCAGCUCAACAGAUAUAUGCAUAUCAAAGUGGGCAAGCAUCUUGUAGUCUUGUCUUUGUUUUUUUAAACCGCUGCUUCUAACCAUUCCCAAUCUGUGAGUGUGAAGAAACUACGUCCUUUUAUUCACUGAUGCACAGAGAAAAUGAUCUGAAAACCAUCAAAGAGACUCGACAUCCAACUCUUGCAAGAACUCACAGACUCAUAUGAGUAAUGUAUUACUGUAAUACUUGUUCACAUUUAUCUGCCUCUUCCUAUUUAUACUUAAAACCAUCUGAAACAGAAAACAGCCCUAAUGAGAGAGCGUAUUUGAAUUCUGAAAAAUGUUUCUAUUGCCUUGAAUAUUUCCCCAUGAAUUAAAGACGUCAAGCAUCUAAAUCAGUCUCUUUUUAUUACUGAUAAUUAUUGAUGAAAAUUGCUUAUUAUGGAAGCCCUGAACCGCACUGUGAAAAAAAUCUUGGUGCCUUUCUAAACCUAUGUCCUAAUUUUUUUUCUUCUGUGUUUGCAAAUUAUUCUUGUACGAGACUAUACAUCAUCAGAUCAAGUACCACAGCUGUCAUGUCACCUUAUAAGAUUUCAUUAUUACUGAUUGUGGCACCUGGUGGCCGAGGUUGGUACUGCAUGCUAAUUGUUAGCUAGCAAGCAAAAAAAAAUUCUCAUGUGUUGCCUCUUUUUAGACAAAAAAAUAAUAAUUUGUAGAUGGAGAAAGAAGUUU